Molecule: ribosomal RNA, 254 nt
Filed under: uncultured bacterium
Lineage: Bacteria
Description: partial 16S ribosomal RNA
Rfam family: Bacterial small subunit ribosomal RNA
Source: RNAcentral
UACAGAGGUCCCAAGCGUUGUUCGGAUUCACUGGGCGUAAAGGGUGCGCAGGUGGUUUGGCAAGUUUGACGUGAAAGCCCCGGGCUUAACCCGGGAAUGGCGUUGAAAACUGCUUGAACUGGAGGGUCGGAGGGGGGACUGGAAUUCUUGGUGUAGCAGUGAAAUGCGUAGAUAUCAAGAGGAACACCAGUGGCGAAGGCGAGUCCCUGGACGAUACCUGACACUGAGGCGCGAAAGCCAAGGGAGCAAACAGG